GCCCCGGCGCAGUGCACAGAGCUGAUGUUACACAACUUAGCUACCUAGGUUUCUACACAUAUCUAAUAGAUACGAUAACUGGUCCGGAGGCUAUAAUUUCCUACCUCUGCCGGCAGUACGGCGUGCAUAGGAUACCCAUAGGCAAUGACCAUACUUAUAAAAACAGCGCUAAAGUUCCCGCUAAUAUCACUCAUUACUUCACUGAAAACCAUAGAUUUAGUGUACGAGUGUCCGCAUACAGCGGUGCUAAAAGCAGUUCUAUUAUAGAAAUACGACAGGCGAGGUUGCUGGCGAAUACUGUGGAUGUAGACCAAA
This is a long non-coding RNA of Papilio polytes (common Mormon), 315 nucleotides long. RefSeq lists it as uncharacterized. The record is from RefSeq and is a predicted model, not a curated record. The transcript is spliced from 3 exons. NCBI's taxonomy places the organism in Eukaryota, Metazoa, Arthropoda, Insecta, Lepidoptera, Papilionidae.